GAGUGUGGCUCAGCGGUAGAGCGAUCAUCUAGCACACGUGAGGCCCUGGGUUCGAUCCUCAGCACCA
Molecule: transfer RNA, 67 nt
Filed under: Marmota monax (woodchuck)
Lineage: Eukaryota; Metazoa; Chordata; Mammalia; Rodentia; Sciuridae
Description: tRNA.Ala
Source: RNAcentral